RNAcentral lists this ribosomal RNA (669 nucleotides) under Bacillus licheniformis. RNAcentral's name for it is "bacterial SSU rRNA". It matches the Rfam family "Bacterial small subunit ribosomal RNA", at positions 52 to 702 of the family's 1533-position model. The record is from RNAcentral. Lineage: Bacteria; Bacillati; Bacillota; Bacilli; Caryophanales; Bacillaceae.
UACAUGCAAGUCGAGCGGACCGACGGGAGCUUGCUCCCUUAGGUCAGCGGCGGACGGGUGAGUAACACGUGGGUAACCUGCCUGUAAGACUGGGAUAACUCCGGGAAACCGGGGCUAAUACCGGAUGCUUGAUUGAACCGCAUGGUUCAAUCAUAAAAGGUGGCUUUUAGCUACCACUUGCAGAUGGACCCGCGGCGCAUUAGCUAGUUGGUGAGGUAACGGCUCACCAAGGCGACGAUGCGUAGCCGACCUGAGAGGGUGAUCGGCCACACUGGGACUGAGACACGGCCCAGACUCCUACGGGAGGCAGCAGUAGGGAAUCUUCCGCAAUGGACGAAAGUCUGACGGAGCAACGCCGCGUGAGUGAUGAAGGUUUUCGGAUCGUAAAACUCUGUUGUUAGGGAAGAACAAGUACCGUUCGAAUAGGGCGGCACCUUGACGGUACCUAACCAGAAAGCCACGGCUAACUACGUGCCAGCAGCCGCGGUAAUACGUAGGUGGCAAGCGUUGUCCGGAAUUAUUGGGCGUAAAGCGCGCGCAGGCGGUUUCUUAAGUCUGAUGUGAAAGCCCCCGGCUCAACCGGGGAGGGUCAUUGGAAACUGGGGAACUUGAGUGCAGAAGAGGAGAGUGGAAUUCCACGUGUAGCGGUGAAAUGCGUAGAGAUGUGGA